Molecule: ribosomal RNA, 497 nt
Filed under: uncultured bacterium
Lineage: Bacteria
Description: partial 16S ribosomal RNA
Rfam family: Bacterial small subunit ribosomal RNA
Source: RNAcentral
GACGAACGCUGGCGGCGUGCCUAAUACAUGCAAGUAGAACGCUGAAGCGAGGAGCUUGCUCUUCUUGGAUGAGUUGCGAACGGGUGAGUAACGCGUAGGUAACCUGCCUUGUAGCGGGGGAUAACUAUUGGAAACGAUAGCUAAUACCGCAUAACAAUGGAUGACACAUGUCAUUUAUUUGAAAGGGGCAAUUGCUCCACUACAAGAUGGACCUGCGUUGUAUUAGCUAGUAGGUGAGGUAAUGGCUCACCUAGGCGACGAUACAUAGCCGACCUGAGAGGGUGAUCGGCCACACUGGGACUGAGACACGGCCCAGACUCCUACGGGAGGCAGCAGUAGGGGAUCUUCGGCAAGUGGGGCAACCCUGACCGAGCAACGCCGCGUGAGUGAAGAAGGGUUUCGGAUCGUAAAGCUCUGUUGUAAGUCAAGAACGGGUGUGAGAGUGGAAAGUUCACACUGUGACGGUAGCUUACCAGAAAGGGACGGCUAACUACGUG